UACGUAGGGUGCGAGCGUUAAUCGGAAUUACUGGGCGUAAAGUGUGCGCAGGCGGCCGCGCAAGUCGAGUGUGAAAGCCCCGGGCUUAACUUGGGAAUUGCGCUCGAAACUACGUGGCUGGAGUGUGGCAGAGGAAGGUGGAAUUCCACGUGUAGCGGUGAAAUGCGUAGAGAUGUGGAGGAACACCAAUGGCGAAGGCAGCCUUCUGGGCCAACACUGACACUCAGGCACGAAAGCGUGGGGAGCAAACAGG
Molecule: ribosomal RNA, 253 nt
Filed under: uncultured bacterium
Lineage: Bacteria
Description: partial 16S ribosomal RNA
Rfam family: Bacterial small subunit ribosomal RNA
Source: RNAcentral